This 468-nucleotide ribosomal RNA is filed under the name uncultured bacterium. RNAcentral describes it as "partial 16S ribosomal RNA". It matches the Rfam family "Bacterial small subunit ribosomal RNA", at positions 28 to 507 of the family's 1533-position model. The record is from RNAcentral.
GACGAACGCUGGCGGCGUGCUUAACACAUGCAAGUCGAACGGAAAGGCCCUGCUUUUGUGGGGUGCUCGAGUGGCGAACGGGUGAGUAACACGUGAGUAACCUGCCCUUGACUUUGGGAUAACUUCAGGAAACUGGGGCUAAUACCGGAUAGGAGCUCCUGCUGCAUGGUGGGGGUUGGAAAGUUUCGGCGGGUGGGGAUGGACUCGCGGCUUAUCAGCUUGUUGGUGGGGUAGUGGCUUACCAAGGCUUGGACGGGUAGCCGGCCGGAGAGGUGGACCGGCAACAUUGGGACUGAGAUACGGCCCAGACUCCAACGGGAGGCAGAAGGGGGGAAUAUUGCACAAUGGGCCGAAGCCGGAUGCAGCAACGCCGCGGGCGGGAUGCCGGCCUUCGGUUGUUAACCCGUUUUCGCCUGUGACGAAGCGUGAGUGACGGUAAUGGGUAAAGAAGCACCGGCUAACUACGUG